CCUCUCUCUUCAAAAUAUAACCUCCUCACUCAUGUCCCUGCUCUCUCAUUUCCCUCAAACCCUAACCUAAACACAACCAGCCGCACCAUUUUUCUCUCUUGCAACUCCUGUCGACGGAGCAACUCCGGCCGGCUAGUAUCUUGUUUAUGGGGAAAAUAAUUCACAUUAGUGGAUUAGCUAUGGUGUAUUAUCUAAACCAACAGAAUGCAGUGGAUUAACUAUGGAAAAAGAGAGGAAAAUCAUUCACGUAUCACAAAUCAUUCAACUCCAUCCUCUCUCUCUCUCUUCAAUACUCCUUUUCUCUCUCAUGCAUUUGAAGAUCUGAAGUAAAAUUAAAAAAGAAACCCUCUUUUUUGGGGGUGAUUUGAUGUAGAUCUAAAAAUCUAGUUCUGAAUAAAAAUCAAAGCAACCCCAUCUUUUGUUACAUAGAUCCGUUCACCCAGACCUAGAGUUAGAGAGAGAGUGUGUGUCCAAUUUCAAAGAGAAAGUAAGAGAGAGAGAAAGUGAGGAAGAAGGAUGUCCAAUUUCUCCGAUUGGGUGGUGGGCCGGCGGCAGCGCCGCCGUGAGCGGCGGAGUUCCCCGGUCUCCUCCUGACGAGUUGAUGCUCUGGUCGACUUUGGAGGUUAUGGGUUUAGUUGGUUCAAGACUGGUGGUGGCGGUUUGACGGCUGGGUGGUGGGCCGGCGGCAGCGCCGCGGUGAGCGGCGGAGGUCCCGGUCUCCUCCUGUGUUGUUGAUUUAUCUGGUAUUUUUUUUUUUGCCAUAUGUUCUUGAUUUUUCUUGGUUUAGUAUGUUGGGGAAUUUGAUGUUUGAUAUUUUGUUUUGAUUUGGUAUGUUGGGGAUUUUCAUAUGGGCCUCUGUUCUUGAUGUUUGUUUUGAUUUUGGUAUGUUGGAGAUUUUGAUCUGUGGGUUUUGAUAUGUUCGUUUUUGGGUGGCGAUGUUCUUGUUUGAAAUAUGUUUGAAUGAUGUUCUUGUUUUCCUUUUGAAUGUUCAAAUCGUUUGAAUAUGUUUGAAUGAUGAUCUUGUCCCUUUUGAAUGUUCAAAUCGUUUGAAUAUGUUUGAAUGUUGAAUCUGGGCUUGAAAUAUGUUUGAAUGAUGUUUCUUGUCCCUUUUGAAUGUUUAAAACAGUUGAAUAUGGUGCCUCAUUUUGAAUCGGCAGUGAUGAUGUAAAAAUAACUGACAAUGGCGCGGCAAGGACGGUGGAGGGUAGGUUUUUGAACCUGCAACCCCAUUUUGCAGCCGUUGAUUAUCGGAAAAUCUGAGCCAAAACUUCGUUUUUUUUUUCUAGAAUCCACUCGUUCUUUUGAUUUUUGUUUGUUGGGUUUUUUUUUUAUUUUUAGGCGUCGAUGAUGAUAACAAUAUAUCUGAGACGCUUCAUUGAGUUUGCGAUUUCUGGGUCCGUUCGUUUUUGCGUAAAAAAAUUUUUGUAAAAAAAAAUUAAACUGUAAACUUUUUUACGUCAACCGUAAACUUUUUAACGUAGAAAAUUUUAGGUAAAACGUAAAAACGUAAAUUUUUUUUACUAAAACGAAAAAAACGUUAACGUAAAAACGUUAACGUAAAAACGUUAACGUAAAAAGUAAAACGUAAAACUUAAAACGUAAAACUUAAAAAAGUAAAACGUAAAACUUAAAACGUAAAAAACGUUAACGUAAAAAACCGGCGCGUAAAACGUAAAAAACGUUAAUGUAAAAAACGUUAACGUAAAAAACCGGCGUGUUAAACGUAAAAACGUAAAAAACGUUAACGUAAAAAACCGGCGCGUAAAACGUAAAAAAACGUUGACGUAAAAAACCGGGACGUAAAACGCAAAAAAAACGGCGUGUAAAACGUAAAUAACGUUAACGUAAAAAACCGGCGCGUAAAACGUAAAAAAAACGUUAACGUAAAAAACCGGUGCGUAAAACACAAAAAAAACGUUGACGUAAAAACUGGGACGUAAAACGCAAAAAACCGGCGCGUAAAACAAAAAUAACGUUAACGUAAAAAACCUGGACGUAAAACGCCAAAAACCGGCGCGUAAAACGUAAAUAACGUUAACGUAAAAAACCGGGGCGUAAAACGCAAAAACGGCGCGUUGAAAAAACGACGCGUGAAAAAGCCGGGCGAAAAAACGGGGCGUCAAAAAACGAGGCGUGAAAAAGCCGGGCGAAAAAACGGAAAACAUAAUUUUUAACGUAAAACGUAAAGUUUUUUAACGUAAAUGACGGCGUAAAUAACGGCGUGUAAAAAAAACGACGUUUGAAAAAGCUCGGCUCGCAAAAAACGUAAAUUGUUUUGUUAAAAAAUCUGAAUUUAAAAAUGAUUUUUAAUAAAAAGAUUAUGAUUAAAAAAUAAAAAGUAAUAUAAUAAAACAAAAAU
RNAcentral lists this long non-coding RNA (2359 nucleotides) under Helianthus annuus (common sunflower). Its description in RNAcentral is "hypothetical non coding rna". Lineage: Eukaryota; Viridiplantae; Streptophyta; Magnoliopsida; Asterales; Asteraceae. The record is from RNAcentral.